Molecule: ribosomal RNA, 503 nt
Filed under: uncultured Gemmatimonadota bacterium
Lineage: Bacteria; Pseudomonadati; Gemmatimonadota
Description: bacterial SSU rRNA
Rfam family: Bacterial small subunit ribosomal RNA
Source: RNAcentral
GAGUUUGAUCAUGGCUCAGGACGAACGCUGGCGGCGUGCUUAACACAUGCAAGUCAAGGGGGCCCGCAAGGGCAACCGGCGAACGGGUGCGUAACACGUGAGCAACCUACCGAUUUGUGGGGGAUAGCCGGCCCAACGGCCGGGUGAUACCGCAUACGCUUUUCUCGUCACCUGACGGGAUCUGGAAACUUUCGAGGCAGAUCGAGGGGCUCGCGGCCUAUCAGCUAGUUGGCGAGGUCACGGCUCACCAAGGCGACGACGGGUAGCUGGUCUGAGAGGAUGGCCAGCCACAUUGGGACUGAGAAACGGCCCAGACUCCUACGGGAGGCAGCAGUGGGGAAUCUUGCGCAAUGGGCGAAAGCCUGACGCAGCGACGCCGCGUGGGGGAUGACGGGUUUCGGCUUGUAAACCCCUGUUGCCCGGGACGAACUUCUCCUUUCGAGGAGAUUGACGGUACCGGGUGAGGAAGCACCGGCUAACUCUGUGCCAGCAGCCGCUGUAAG